GCCAGCGUGGGGUAGUGGUUUGAGUGUUGGACUGCAGCUCUGGAGACCAGGGUUUGAUUCUCUGCUUAGCCA
Molecule: non-coding RNA, 72 nt
Organism: Phrynosoma platyrhinos (Desert horned lizard)
Lineage: Eukaryota; Metazoa; Chordata; Lepidosauria; Squamata; Phrynosomatidae
Source: the annotation of a GenBank genome assembly